GAUGAACGCUGGCGGCGUGCCUAACACACGCAAGUCGAACGGUUAAGGCGGCUUCGGCCGCGAAUAAAGUGGCGAACGGGUGAGUAGCGCGUGACCGACCUUCCCCCCGCACCGGGACAACCGCGGGAAACCGCGGCUGAUACCGGGUACUCCGGGGCCCUCGCAUGGGGGCCCCGGGAAAGCUCCGGCGGCGGGGGAUGGGGUCGCGUCCCAUCAGGUAGUAGGCGGGGCAAUGGCCCACCUAGCCGACGACGGGUAGCCGGGUUGAGAGACCGACCGGCCACAUUGGGACUGAGAUACGGCCCAGACUCCUACGGGAGGCAGCAGUGGGGAAUUUUGCGCAAUGGGGGCAACCCUGACGCAGCAACGCCGCGUGCGGGACGACGGCCUUCGGGUUGUAAACCGCUUUCAGCAGGGAAGAACCUAAGACGGUACCUGCAGAAGAAGCCCCGGCUAACUACGUGCCAGCCGCCGCCGUAA
Molecule: ribosomal RNA, 480 nt
Filed under: uncultured bacterium
Lineage: Bacteria
Description: partial 16S ribosomal RNA
Rfam family: Bacterial small subunit ribosomal RNA
Source: RNAcentral